RNAcentral lists this ribosomal RNA (433 nucleotides) under uncultured bacterium. RNAcentral describes it as "bacterial SSU rRNA". It matches the Rfam family "Bacterial small subunit ribosomal RNA", at positions 354 to 796 of the family's 1533-position model. The record is from RNAcentral.
GUCGAGAAUCUUCGGCAAUGGGCGCAAGCCUGACCGAGCGACGCCGCGUGGAGGACGAAGGCCUUCGGGUUGUAAACUCCUGUCGAGGGGGAAGAAGCCGCAAGGUUGACUGAACCCUGGAGGAAGCACGGGCUAAGUUCGUGCCAGCAGCCGCGGUAAGACGAACCGUGCGAACGUUAUUCGGAAUCACUGGGCUUAAAGCGCGUGUAGGCGGGACGGCACGUCGGUCGCUGAAAGCCCCCGGCUCAACCGGGGAAGUGGCGCCGAUACGACCGUCCUGGAGGGACGUAGGGGGACCUGGAACUUCCGGUGGAGCGGUGAAAUGCGUUGAGAUCGGAAGGAACGCCCGUGGCGAAAGCGAGGUCCUGGACGUUUUCUGACGCUGAGACGCGAAAGCCAGGGGAGCGAACGGGAUUAGAAACCCGGGUAGUCC